Non-coding RNA from Triticum aestivum (bread wheat), 115 nucleotides. The record is from Rfam. Lineage: Eukaryota; Viridiplantae; Streptophyta; Magnoliopsida; Poales; Poaceae.
UUUCUACUCCCUCCGUUCGGAAUUACUUGUCUCAAAAAUGGAUGUAUCUAGAACUAAAAAACGUUUAGAUACAUCAAUUGCUGCGACAAGUAAUUCCGAACGGAGGGAGUAUAUA